Molecule: long non-coding RNA, 324 nt
Organism: Olea europaea var. sylvestris
Lineage: Eukaryota; Viridiplantae; Streptophyta; Magnoliopsida; Lamiales; Oleaceae
Exons: 2
Source: RefSeq, a predicted model, not a curated record
AUGGGAUACAUUUUCUUUUGCAGGUCUUUUGACACCAAGGUGGAGGUUGUUAGCCAUAAGGAGCAAUUAAGGAUGUUUUAAUAUUGGAAUUUCAUGGAGAAACAAGAAUGUGCACUUCUGAAGGCUUUUUCGUAUCUAGCAACUUGUUAGAAAGGUGAAUGUGAUUAAAUUCUCGAAUUGUAAUAUAAAUUGACGAGAUUGUGCUUAUAUCAAUAUGACAUUAGUGACCGGUUUGGUAUGGUGUCAUACUGUUAUUUACAAUAAUAAACAUUAUUAAGCAAGAGAAAUAAGUUAAAACCUUGCUCAUGGUCUAAUUAUAUAUUA